UAAUACAGAGGGUGCGAGCGUUGUCCGGAAUCACUGGGCGUAAAGGGCGCGUAGGUGGCGGGAUAAGCGUGUGGUGAAAGCCCGGGGCUCAACCCCGUGUCUGCCAUGCGGACUGUCUUGCUCGAGCGUAGUAGAGGCAGGUGGAAUUCCGGGUGUAGCGGUGGAAUGCGUAGAGAUCCGGAAGAACACCGGUGGCGAAGGCGGCCUGCUGGGCUACUGCUGACACUGAGGCGCGACAGCGUGGGGAGCAAACAGGAUUAGAUACCCUGGUAGUCCACGCCGUAAACGAUGGGUACUAGGUGUCUGGGGGAGCGACCCCCUGGGUGCCGGCGCUAACGCAUGAAGUACCCCGCCUGGGGAGUACGGCCGCAAGGCUG
Molecule: ribosomal RNA, 377 nt
Filed under: uncultured bacterium
Lineage: Bacteria
Description: bacterial SSU rRNA
Rfam family: Bacterial small subunit ribosomal RNA
Source: RNAcentral